AGAUAUUAGUAAAAUAAUUACGCAACUUUGUCGAAGUUAAUUUACAGGUUAAACCCCUGUAUAUCUUA
This 68-nucleotide transfer RNA is filed under the name Lepilemur leucopus (white-footed sportive lemur). RNAcentral describes it as "tRNA-Asp". Lineage: Eukaryota; Metazoa; Chordata; Mammalia; Primates; Lepilemuridae. The record is from RNAcentral.